RNAcentral lists this ribosomal RNA (32 nucleotides) under Mucor hiemalis. RNAcentral describes it as "partial 28S ribosomal RNA". Lineage: Eukaryota; Fungi; Mucoromycota; Mucoromycetes; Mucorales; Mucoraceae. The record is from RNAcentral.
UUGAUCUGAAAUCAGGCGGGAUUACCCGCUGA